This 273-nucleotide long non-coding RNA is filed under the name Rosa chinensis. Its description in RNAcentral is "sRNA RchiOBHm_Chr2g0117901". The record is from RNAcentral. Lineage: Eukaryota; Viridiplantae; Streptophyta; Magnoliopsida; Rosales; Rosaceae.
CGCGCUUAUUCAAAAGCCGAAGCCGAAGCCGCAGACGAAGAAGACCGAAUCCGAAUGUCAGAGCCAAUCAUCCUCUCAGACGAAGAAGACCACCACAAUGCCUCAUUCCCCCAUUUCCCUCUAAGAAACGCCGAACCCAAUUCGACCCGAGUCCGAAUCCGAAUCCAAAUCCUACGGUUCUCAUCCUCGACGACGACCCGACCCCGCAGAAACCCGUCCCCAAAUCCACGGCCUACUUGGUCCCGGACACCCCGAAUUCCGAUAUCGCAAUCG